AAUUUGUUUCCUAAUUAGAAAAUAGUAUGAAUGAAUCCACCUCUUAUAGAUUUGUUAUAAAGGGCCUAGCCCAAAUUAAAACUUUGAUGAAAAUUUCAAAAUCUAAAACUUAGACGAUAAGACCCUAUGAAGCUUGACUAAAAGAGUUAAAAAUUUAUAUUGAGUUUCUUGAUUGGUUUAAUUGGGGCAAUGGCUAAUAGAAAUAUUAUAGAGCUCUUUAAUAUCACUGAUCCUAAAAGGAACCUGUGAACCAGCUACUCUAGGGAUAACAGCACUAUAGUUAAAAAAGUUCUUAUUAGAAUAACUGU
RNAcentral lists this ribosomal RNA (308 nucleotides) under Metridia okhotensis. RNAcentral's name for it is "partial 16S rRNA". Lineage: Eukaryota; Metazoa; Arthropoda; Copepoda; Calanoida; Metridinidae. The record is from RNAcentral.